Molecule: non-coding RNA, 31 nt
Filed under: Rattus norvegicus (Norway rat)
Lineage: Eukaryota; Metazoa; Chordata; Mammalia; Rodentia; Muridae
Source: RNAcentral
GGGUCUCAAUGUUUUAAGAGCAUAUGUUCUU